This 30-nucleotide non-coding RNA is filed under the name Mus musculus (house mouse). Lineage: Eukaryota; Metazoa; Chordata; Mammalia; Rodentia; Muridae. The record is from RNAcentral.
UCCAUUAAAAAGUGUCCCUUGCUAUGUUUC